Long non-coding RNA from Sander lucioperca (pikeperch), 175 nucleotides. RefSeq lists it as uncharacterized. The record is from RefSeq and is a predicted model, not a curated record. NCBI's taxonomy places the organism in Eukaryota, Metazoa, Chordata, Actinopteri, Perciformes, Percidae. The transcript is spliced from 3 exons.
UGGGAGAAAAAUGUGCUCUGGUUUAAACCAAUCACAAUUGGUCAGCUCUAAGUAUGGGUUUACACCAGUAGAAUGUCUCUAAAUGCGUCUUGAGUGACCACUUGUGAUCAGAUCUCAAUUCCCCGCUCUAUAUGCAAAUAAACACGUACCUAAUUUCUGUUUACACAAUUUACUC